This is a small nuclear RNA of Callithrix jacchus (white-tufted-ear marmoset), 94 nucleotides long. Lineage: Eukaryota; Metazoa; Chordata; Mammalia; Primates; Cebidae. The record is from Ensembl.
GUGCUCACUUCAGCAGCACAUAGACUAAAAUUGGAAUGAUACAGAGAAGAUUAGCAAUUUGAAAUAAAUUUUUAAAAAUAUUGUAUACAUAUAU